AGUCAAUGAUCGAAAGAUUGAUCUAGUUACUUAGAAAGAUGAAGAUUAUGAAAAAUAAAAUGAAAAAUAAUAAUGAAGAAUAUAAAAUCUAAAUAUAUAUUAAGAAUAAUGAUGAAAAGAUAUAUAAUAGUCUUAACAAAAAUUAGUGCCAGCAGUUGCGGCUAAACUAAGGAGGCAAAUGUUAAUCAUUAAAGGCUUAAAGGAUCCGUAGAAUGAUAUAAUAUAUAAUAGAGUUAUAUUAAAGAAUAAUGAAUAAUUAUAAUGAGAGAUGAAAUCCAAUGAUAAUAAUUAGACAAACAAAAUUGAAGAUAUUAUUCGAGAUAUUAACUAACAUUGAGGGAUGAAGGCAUGAGUAGCAAAACGGAUUAGAUACCCGAGUAGUUCAUGCAGUAAACAAUGAAUACUAAAAUAAAUAUAAGUGAAAACUAAAGUAUUCCGCCAGGUGAGUAUAUUCGCAAGAAUGAAAUCCAAGACAAUAGACGGUUACAGGUGUAGGCAGUGGAUUGUGUUAU
This 512-nucleotide ribosomal RNA is filed under the name Ogataea wickerhamii. RNAcentral's name for it is "partial small subunit ribosomal RNA". It matches the Rfam family "Bacterial small subunit ribosomal RNA", at positions 366 to 945 of the family's 1533-position model. Lineage: Eukaryota; Fungi; Ascomycota; Pichiomycetes; Pichiales; Pichiaceae. The record is from RNAcentral.